UGCAGUGCGCAGCUAUACAUGCAAGUCGAACGAGAGCGACCAGUGCUUGCACUGGUCAAUCUAGUGGCGAACGGGUGAGUAACACGUGGGUAACCUGCCCAUCAGAGGGGGAUAACAUUCGGAAACGGAUGCUAAAACCGCAUAGGUCUUCGAACCGCAUGGUUUGAAGAGGAAAAGAGGCGCAAGCUUCUGCUGAUGGAUGGACCCGCGGUGCAUUAGCUAGUUGGUGAGGUAACGGCUCACCAAGGCCGUGAUGCAUAGCCGACCUGAGAGGGUGAUCGGCCACAUUGGGACUGAGACACGGCCCAAACUCCUACGGGAGGCAGCAGUAGGGAAUCUUCCGCAAUGGACGCAAGUCUGACGGAGCAACGCCGCGUGAGUGAAGAAGGUUUUCGGAUCGUAAAACUCUGUUGUUAGAGAAGAACAAGUGCUAGAGUAACUGUUAGCGCCUUGACGGUAUCUAACCAGAAAGCCACGGCUAACUACGUGCCAGCAGCCGCGGUAAUACGUAGGUGGCAAGCGUUGUCCGGAUUUAUUGGGCGUAAAGCGAGCGCAGGCGGUUCCUUAAGUCUGAUGUGAAAGCCCCCGGCUCAACCGGGGAGGGUCAUUGGAAACUGGGGAACUUGAGUGCAGAAGAGGAGAGUGGAAUUCCAUGUGUAGCGGUGAAAUGCGUAGAUAUAUGGAGGAACACCAGUGGCGAAGGCGACUCUCUGGUCUGUAACUGACGCUGAGGCUCGAAAGCGUGGGUAGCAAACAGGAUUAGAUACCCUGGUAGUCCACGCCGUAAACGAUGAGUGCUAAGUGUUGGGAGGGUUUCCGCCCUUCAGUGCUGCAGUUAACGCAUUAAGCACUCCGCCUGGGGAGUACGACCGCAAGGUUGAAACUCAAAGGAAUUGACGGA
This 901-nucleotide ribosomal RNA is filed under the name uncultured bacterium. RNAcentral describes it as "bacterial SSU rRNA". It matches the Rfam family "Bacterial small subunit ribosomal RNA", at positions 38 to 917 of the family's 1533-position model. The record is from RNAcentral.